Molecule: transfer RNA, 72 nt
Filed under: Bos taurus (domestic cattle)
Lineage: Eukaryota; Metazoa; Chordata; Mammalia; Artiodactyla; Bovidae
Rfam family: tRNA
About the family: Transfer RNA (tRNA) molecules are approximately 80 nucleotides in length. Their secondary structure includes four short double-helical elements and three loops (D, anti-codon, and T loops). Further hydrogen bonds mediate the characteristic L-shaped molecular structure. tRNAs have two regions of fundamental functional importance: the anti-codon, which is responsible for specific mRNA codon recognition, and the 3' end, to which the tRNAs corresponding amino acid is attached (by aminoacyl-tRNA synthetases). tRNAs cope with the degeneracy of the genetic code in two manners: having more than one tRNA (with a specific anti-codon) for a particular amino acid; and 'wobble' base-pairing, i.e. permitting non-standard base-pairing at the 3rd anti-codon position.
Source: Rfam by way of RNAcentral
UCCCUGGUAGCUCAGAUGGUAAAGAAUCUGCUUGCAAUGCAGGAGAUCCAGGGUCCAUCCCUGGUUGGGGAA